This 228-nucleotide unclassified non-coding RNA is filed under the name Moritella viscosa. RNAcentral's name for it is "putative sRNA". The record is from RNAcentral. Lineage: Bacteria; Pseudomonadati; Pseudomonadota; Gammaproteobacteria; Alteromonadales; Moritellaceae.
AAGAAAUGUCUCAAAAAAGAUUGACACGGUUAUAUGAUAUAGAUCACAAAUUCAAACAUUGAUUUUGACUUGAUAGUGAUAAGAACAACUACUCUAAUUUAUUUGAUAGCGAUAACAAUUUAAUAACAACACGUGUACGCUGAAAUAAACCAUUAACUAUCAGCGACUUAAGCGACCACCAACCAUCAACUAUUUUUUCAAUUAAACGUCAAGCCUUAAUAACCAAAC